GGCGUUCCCCACUAUGAACUUUUUAAUAAGUACUAAGGAGAGCCCAGGGCUUCCCCGGUGCCUCAGAGGUUAAAGCGUCUGCCUGCAAUGCAGGAGACCCGGGUUUGAUCCCUGAGUCGGGAAGAUCCCCUGGAGAAGGAAAUGGCAACCCACUCCAGUAUUCUUGCCUGGAGAAUCCCAUGGAGGGAGGAGCCUGGUAGACUACAGUCCAUGGGGUUGCAAAGAGUCGGACACGACUGAGCGACUUCACUUUCACUUUCAAGGAGCCAGAGCACAGUGAGAAGGCAAUGAAAGAGCAUGGCCCCCAAACACCAGUCUUCUCUUCCACCCCAAGCGAAGAAACUGAAGAAAGCCAGACCGACUCCUGCCUCCAGGCCAGACGAGGCAUCUGCUUCUUCAAAUUUGCCGAAGGAAG
This is a long non-coding RNA of Dama dama (fallow deer), 415 nucleotides long. RefSeq lists it as uncharacterized. The record is from RefSeq and is a predicted model, not a curated record. The transcript has 2 exons. NCBI's taxonomy places the organism in Eukaryota, Metazoa, Chordata, Mammalia, Artiodactyla, Cervidae.